CAGCAGCCGCGGGAAUACAAAGGGGGCUAGCGUUGUUCGGAAUUACUGGGCGUAAAGCGCACGUAGGCGGAUCGAUCAGUCAGGGGUGAAAUCCCAGGGCUCAACCCUGGAACUGCCUUUGAUACUGUCGAUCUGGAGUAUGGAAGAGGUGAGUGGAAUUCCGAGUGUAGAGGUGAAAUUCGUAGAUAUUCGGAGGAACACCAGUGGCGAAGGCGGCUCACUGGUCCAUUACUGACGCUGAGGUGCGAAAGCGUGGGGAGCAAACAGGAUUAGAUACCCCUGUAGUCCCUGUCUCUUAUAC
Molecule: ribosomal RNA, 301 nt
Filed under: uncultured bacterium
Lineage: Bacteria
Description: partial 16S ribosomal RNA
Rfam family: Bacterial small subunit ribosomal RNA
Source: RNAcentral